This 89-nucleotide microRNA precursor is filed under the name Pteropus vampyrus (large flying fox). Its description in RNAcentral is "miRNA (ENSPVAG00000025201.1)". Lineage: Eukaryota; Metazoa; Chordata; Mammalia; Chiroptera; Pteropodidae. The record is from RNAcentral.
UGUGUGUGUGUGUGUGUGUGUGUGUGUGUGUGUGUGUAUGCGCGCGCGCGCGCGCGUGCGUGCGCGCACGCGCAUGUGAACACAGCAGG